Molecule: ribosomal RNA, 253 nt
Filed under: uncultured prokaryote
Description: partial 16S ribosomal RNA
Rfam family: Bacterial small subunit ribosomal RNA
Source: RNAcentral
ACGUAGGGGGCAAGCGUUGUCCGGAUUUACUGGGCGUAAAGGGCGCGUAGGCGGCCGCCUAAGUCAGACGUGAAAUCCCCAAGCUUAACUUGGGAACUGCGUCUGAUACUGGGUGGCUUGAGUUCGGGAGAGGAAUGUGGAAUUCCAGGUGUAGCGGUGAAAUGCGUAGAUAUCUGGAGGAACACCGGUGGCGAAGGCGGCAUUCUGGACCGAAACUGACGCUGAUGCGCGAAAGCCAGGGGAGCAAACGGGA